CUCUCUCUCUCUCUCUCUCUCUCUCUCUCUCUCUCUCAAAGUAUAAGACAAUUUUCUUUUGGAAAACUUCAAAUACCCCCUCGUGGUUUCACUUUUUCUCACUUUUAUACUCUGUGGUUUAAAAUGUAGGAAAAACUUUAAAAAAUCCUCCUUGUGGUUUCAAUUUUUUUCACUUUAGUAUCAUGUAGUUUAAAAUAUAUCAAGUUAGUUUCUUGUGGUUUCUCACUUUAUCACUUUAGUACCCUGUGGUUUAAGGUGUAUCAAGUUAGUAUUAUAUGAUUUUGCACUUUAUCACUUUAGUAUCAUGUGGUUUUAAUUUUGUAUCAAGUUAGUACCAUGUGGUUUUUUAAACUAUGGGGUACUAAAGUGAUAAAGUGUGAAACCACAGGGUACUAAAGUGAUAAAGUGCAAAACUAUAGGGUACUAACUUGAUACACUUUAAAUCGCAGGGUACUAAAGUGAUAAAGUGAGAAACCACAGUGUACUAACUUGAUACAUUUUAAACCAUAGGGCACUAAAAUGAAAAAGUGUGAAACCACAGAGGGUUUUUUUGAAAUUUUUCCUAAAAUGUAUCAAGUUAGUACUCUGUAGUUUAGCACUUUCUCACUUUAGUACCCUGUGGUUUAAAGUAUAUCAAGUUAGUACCAUAUGGUUUUCCACUUUCUCACUUUAGUAAUCUGUGGUUUAAUAUUUUAUUAAGAAAAAAUAAAACCACAGGGUAUUAACUUGAUACUUUCAAAAAUAAAAUCACAUGGUACUAACUUGAUACAAAAAUAAAAUUACACAGUCCUAACUUGAUACACCUUAAACUAUAGGGUACUAACGUGAGAAAGUGCAAAACCAUAUGGUACUAACUUAAUACACUUUAAAUCAUAUAGUACUAAAAUGAAAAAGUACAAAACCACAGAGAGGAUUUUUAAAGUUUUUUUUUUUUUUUUCUUACAUGGGUGGUCAUUAGAUGGGCCACAUAGUGUCCAUCAGCAUGAUCCCCAAACUAUUAGUUUGGGGAUAUAGUUUGGGGACAGUCACCAUAAAAUUUUUGUCCCUUGGGUGAAGUCAUUACUCGUGUUCAUUAAUUUGACCUAAUAAACGUGAUCUGUACACCUGAAAACGUAAUAGGUUACAGAGUCUUUGAGCACAACUCACUGAGUCACUGUACACCCCCACACUUGAUCCCUGCUUUUAGCUUAUAAAUAAAUCUCACCACGUUUUACAAAUUUUAUACAACUCAAUAAUUAGAAUGAGUAUAAAAUUUAUAUUUUUUAUAUUUGGAUGCAAAAGUAGAAUUUUUCAUUUGACACAACAUGAUACAUCACAUGAUGCGUAUGCCAGCUUUUGUUGGGAAAACGGCCAGGCACAGCCUUCGCCAAAGGCUAACCAAUUUUUUUUUUGUUAAAAAAAAUAUUUUUAAUUAUGACAUUAAUUUUAUAAAGUGUAUAUAAUAAUAAUAAUCUUAAAACGGGCUUAGACAGUUUGGAAUAAAAAUUUUGUGGGCAUGUUAUUUGUUUGGGAACGAUGCGGCACGCGGCGCCCAUCAGAAAACGGAAAAAAAAUGUGGGCUCCGAUUUUUUAGAGAGAGAGAGAGAGAGAAAAGCAGAUGAGAGAAAGGGGUGGUCAGGAUGGGCACCUGCACGCCACAAGGCGUCCAUCAGUUCAGCCCCUAAACAAGUUGUUUGAGGACAAAUACCAAUAAAAUUUUUGUCUCUAAUCAAGUUGUUUGAGGACGGAUGCCUAUAAAAUUUUUGUCUGACAGUUUGGGAUGAUUUAGAGCAUCUAUUUGGAACACCGAAUUUAAUGUUAAUAAAAUAAAAUGUUGUCAUGGAUGAUGUUAUUGGAUUUGCUUCUUCAAGCUUUCUAAAUCUUAGAAUCAGAAAGAAGGUAGGCUUUUGCUUGUUGUUUCUGGAUUCGACUUGAGUGCUCGGCUUCAAGCGUUUAUUGUUGAAGCCCUGUUUAGGUAUUAUCACCUUUUGAAGUAUCUACUUCCAGAUAAGAAUAAUGGAGGAAUUGCGAGAAUGUUUAAAACAUGUUGAAAAUUAAUUGUAACUUUUUAGAGGCACAAAGAGCACAAAAUUUUCAUCUAUUAUUUAGGUGAAAAUCGAACCUACUAUAUCUAAUAUAUUUAGAAUAGCAAGUUGCCUAUGUACAGCUUAUACAAUUGUGUUCAAAAUUAAAAACAAAAUAGAGAAAUGAUUCGGUACUUUUUUAAAAAAUAAAUAAAUAAAUCUUAACCGUUGAUUAAUAGAGGGUAAAAAUAUAACUAUAUUAAUCAACGGUUAAGAUUUUUUUUAUUCAAGAUUAGUUUGGUAAUUAAAUAAUACAAUAUUUAAAGAAACUUUUAAUUAAUUGAGGUCCUAAAUUUAUGCAUUAAUUAGCACUACUUUAGAAAAUUAAUUGAUUAACCAAAUUUAUGCAAUUAUUAGGCAUUAAUUUAGAAAAAAUUAAAUACUUAAAAUUUAAAAGUGAAAUUUAAAUUAGAGGAAUUUCAUAUUACUAUUUAAAAACUAAAAUUCUACCAAGAUUUAAAAUACAGUUUAUUUGCACCAGUUUAAAACAUAAUGCAUAAAAAACUUAGAGAGUAAGAUUUCUACAACUAGAUUUCUCUAGAGGAAUUUCAUAUUACUAUUUAAAUUUUAAAUUAAAUGAUUUAAAAACUAGAUUGAGCCGAUUGAUUUGACUAAUCAGAUUUUAACCUAUUCUAUCAAGAAUCUGAUUUUAACCUAUUGAACCGAAACUGAUAAAGAUAAUAAAUAUUUUAAACAAAAUGAUAAUUUAACUGUUAGAGCUAAUAAAUAUUUUAAAUAUAAUUUUAAACAUAUAAAUUAAAAAGAUUAGAAUUAUUGGUGAGAAAAAAAAUAGUUAGGAAUUUGAAUUCGAAUCUGACUAACAAUCACAAAACUUAUUUCCGAACUCGACGGAUUUCAAAAAUCCAUAUCCAAAUUCAAAACUGACCAAUUUUUCGAAACCCAAAACCAAAUCCAAACCAGAAGACUAGAAUUCAAACAAUUAUUUCUGUUUAUCAUAUUUCAAAGUAUUUAUAUGAAACUUAAAUUUUUAAAAUAUAAAUUUGAAUAUAAUAUUAAAUUUUAAAUUUAAAAGUAAAAUUUAAAUUAGAGGAAUUUCAUAUUACUAUUUAAAGUUUAAAUUCAAUUAUCACAUUGUCAAAUCAUUUGAAAUUUUCCUUAUAUGAAAUACCAAAUUAUGAAAGGAAAGAUAGAGAGAGAAAAAGAAAACAGAAAAAAUAAAAAUUUUAAAAAUAUAGUAGAUGUAAAUGACUAAAUUGCCCAUGUAUUAAAAGACAAAAAUAUUCUUUUUUGAGGUACCUGGUAAUCGGUACCUCUCCCAAAGUGACCUGCUAUUGCAGGUCACAAUUUUAAAAAAACUAAAUCUGAGCCGUUGAAUAGGCGUGAAUGAACGGUAACCAAAAAAAAAAAAGUAUAGAAGCAUUACUCAACAAAAUAUAGCAACAAAUAAUAGAAAGCACAAGUCGCGAUAAAUGGCACCCAACUCGACUGAUAUGUUUCUUAAUUGUCAGAAUAAGAACAAAUGAAGAUAUUAAACCCUGCCUCCUGCCUUUUUACAACAGUGGGUGUCAGCAGCCAUCAUCAGUUUAUUACAAUUAGCAUUUCUCAGAUUAAGUACAGAAAGAAUGAUGAAUAAACCUUUAUUCUGAUCCAAACUAAACAAAAGUCGCAAGUUAAUUAAAAAUUACUCGCGAAAACAAAAUCUAGACCCUAAGUCAAAUGUGCUAAAUGCUACACGAGAUAAGUCGAUCAACACGCGGGCUUUAGAUGAAAUGCUGCAGCUGUAUUAUCAUGACACUGAUAUCAUCCCGAGAGCCUCGCGAAGCAGAUAGAUUGGCGAGUACUUUGCAAGCUGAGAGUAGUGGGGAUUUAUCGUUCUCCAUACACAGCGGUCGAGCAAUAUCUACAGCCUCCUGAUUGCUAACCUAAAGACAUAGCAAACAGAGUAAUGUCAUAUUUCUGAUCAAAUUUAAAAGAAUAAAAAUGGUAAUUACAGGAAUGAAAAUGUAUGGGUAAAUCCCGUACUACCCCGAUACUGUGACUUAAUAACCAUGUUUGAGCAUAUUUGAGACUAAAGUAUUUAAAUGACGGAGCCCUAGGACUAAGCCACGGCAUCGAGAUAGACCGGACAACUGAGGGAGCUAGCCGUACAUUUUAACCGAAGAAUAAAGAUGGGCAUUUAGGAUGAUGACAUUUGAGAGAGGAAUUGUUACCGUAUCCCAUAAUCCGUCGGAAGCUAGAAUUAAGAACUCGAAUUCAGGUGUAAUCUUCAGAGUUUUCGUCUCGGGCUCAGGUAUCACCCACUGUUUAAGACUCGAAUCUCCGAUCCCCCUGGAUACAGCGAGGGAGCCUUGCACUCUCCAUAUACCUCGGUAGCAAUCCACAUACCCGCCCUGCAAAACAUAAAAGAUCCAGAGUAUAAGCAACUAAUUCUUGCGACAUAGGUAAGAGAGAGUACCAAACAUACUGCAAAUCUGCAUUUCUGAGCAACUAUUUGGUUGCUUCUUAUCUUGAAGAAGUUGCAUCAUGAAAUAUUCUAGUUUGAGAAGAAAUAUUAUAUAGUCUAUUGAUAUUUCUCUUCAGAACCAAAGAAUACACAUCUACGCUAAUGAAUGAGAUGCAUAUGCUAGGUUUCAAAAAAUCAAAUUUAACACAAGGUAUACAAAAAACUAGAUAGAUACCUAUAUUACCACACAAAUUGUAAGUUGGAUAAUUUACUUAAAUUCUAUGAAUUCUAAGAUGCCAAAUUGAGAAAGAAUUAAGCUUUGCGAAUUAAAUUUACUUACGAGAUUCUCAAUUCGGUCCUUCUCAUCCGCCCUAGACGGCCGGUGAUCGGACGUGAGGGCCUCGGCCUUCCCCGCCCUGCUAAGAACAGCACGGCAGUCCCCCGCGUUCGAAAUAACGAGAUUACCCUUCCGAAGCAAGGCCGUCACACAGCACGUUCCUCCGCUCUCCUCCGCCUUCAAGAACUCCUUGUCGGUCUUCAAAUACCCGAUCUUAACCGCCUCCUCUAUCUCGCUACAGCUCUCUCCGCCUCUCUUCUCCACUUCCUCCACUAUGAGCUCGCCUAUGUUCUCGGAGGCAAACUCCGCAGCUUUUUUUCCUCCGUGGCCGUCAAAAAUAGCAAAAAAUGCCUGAAAAUUUAUGGAAAAAUUAGAUGCAUCAUGUAAAACAACUAGAAAAUAAACUAUUUUAGAAUUCUACAAUUAAUAACGAGGAAUCAACAACUAAAUUGACCUCUUUUUGGUUAAAGACAAUGAUUAUAAACUAGGAUUUAUACAUUUGAAUGCCCAGAGUUUUUGCCCCUUUUCACUCGUUUCACAGCUUCUAAAAUUCUGAAAACUAGUCAUACUUGAGCGAACAAAAUACUUUUUUUUCUUUGACCAUAGUGCGAGAAAAAUAACAAAGUUUCAUAUCAAAACAAAGAUUUCGCCUUUUUUUUUUUAUAAUAUCUACCAAUAGAUGCAAACUUGUCUCGGAAAGAGACACGACUUCUCCCAUUUGAACCAUUCAAAGUCAUCUUGGCCCACAAUUUUUCGCGUUUUUACUAAUUUAAUAUCUUCCUAAUAAUAUGAAAUUAGACAAAUUGACCCCAAUAGUGGAAAUUUUGAAUAUUUCGCAUGUUAAUUUUUAUUUUUCAAAAUAAAACGAAAUAAAAUGAAAAAAAAAAAUUGGAUCAAACCCUAGAAAACGUACCAUUUGGGGAUCGUCACGGAGAUCGAGCGAGGCGCGGUGCCGAUCCUCCAUCUCCAACCGCCUCUUCCCCCUCUUGCAAUACACCGAGAACCUCGCGCUCUCCGCCUCCACCUCGCCGAGCCCAUCCGACCCCGCGGGCGCCGCGGCGAAGGCCUCCGCCGCGGGUAUGUCGAUCCGCGCGGGCCUCUUCCGCUUCAGCAGCGACCCGCCCCCGCUCGAGCACGAGGGCCUCGGCGGAGAUGGCGAGGCAUCGAAAUCCAUGGCCCUCGUCGCCCGGAGCGCGCUCGCCCCCCUCUGGAACCGCGACCGGAGGGCGGUGGGCGACGAGCACGGAGAGGCAUCGGGCGCCUGGAUAUGGUGGGGUGCUAGGGUUAGGGUUAGGGUUUCGGGGGAGCCCUUGCACGAGAGGGGCAUGCGCGAGGGGGAGAACACGGGGGAGCUCGCGAUCGUCGCUACGGUGCACGACAUCGUCUUCGUCAAAUACCCCCAAAAAAAAAAAAAAAUCACCAAAUUCCAAUUUCAAUCUCUUUACUAUCUGUUUCCUUCGUCACAAGGAGUUCUCUACGACGCCUAUUUAUAGCAAUAAUAACCUGGCAUUACAAUACUCCGGAGGAACAAUUUAAUUACCAUGAUCCAAAAGAUUUUUAUUUGGAUUAAUUUCAUACAAGUUUCUGAGUGAACUGCAAAUUAUCCUGUAAAGUUCAACUUUUAUAUAUUGCUCCUACAAAAAUUUAAAUAUUUUUAUAUAUAUUUCUAUCAUUAGGAUCUGUUAGAAAAAAUUAGUUAAUUAUAGAUUAAAACACUUAACCUUAGUUAGUUAAUGAAAGGAAUUAACUUUUUUACCUGUUUUCAAUUAAGAGUUGGGAUUUUUGGAGGGACAUAUUUGCGAUGAUAAAAUAAUUAUUUUACUUAUAAAUAAAUAGUACUUUAGUGGUAAUAAAUCAGAGGAAUAUAUUUGAAAAUAUUAGGACUUUUAUAAGAAUAAUAUAUGAAAGUUGAAUUUUAUAAAAACAUAUUUGCGAUCCACUAUGUUUGCAAAUCCUUUCGAAAAAACUUCAAAUACCAUCCUUGUGGUUUCGCACUUUCUCACUUUAGUACCCCGUGGUUUAAAAUGUAUUAAUUUAGUACUCUAUGAUUUGAUUUUUCUCUUUUUAUUAUCCACUUUAUUUUUUUUUGUUAAAUCAGUAACAAAGUUAAAACUAAAUAGUACUAAAAUGAAUAUUUGAAAAAUCUAAGUGAGGUAUCUAAAGUUUUUGUAUAUAAUUUAAUAAAAUAUUAACGGAGGAUCUGACGAAAAGAAAAAAAUAAAAACAUAAGGUACUAGUUUAAUAUAGGAAAAACUUCAAAAACCCCCCUGUGGUUUCACAUUUUUUCAUUUUAGUACCAUAUGGUUUAAAGUAUAUCAAGUGAGUACCCUGUGCUUUCUCACUUUAUCACUUUAGUACUCUUUGGUUUAAAGUGUAUUAAGUUAAUACCCUAUGGUUUUGUACUUUAUCCUUUAGUAUUCUGUGGUUUCACACUUUAUCACUUUAAUACCUUAUAGUUUAAAAAAUCACAGGGUACUAACUUGAUACAAAAUUAAAACCACAGCAUACUAAAGUGAUAGAGUGCACAACCACAGAGUACUAACUUGAUACACUUUAAACCACGGGGUACUAAAGUGAUAAAGUGAGAAACUAUAUGGUACUAACUUGAUACAUUUUAAACCAUAGAGUACUAAAGUGAAAAAAAUUAAACCCACCACGAGAGUUUUUGAAGUUUUUUCUUUAAUAUAUUUUAAAUUAUAAAAUAUUAAAGCAAGAAAGUGUAAAAUUAAAGAGGUAGCAUUUAAAGUUUACUAUUUUGGAUUAUUUUUUUUUUUGAUACUUUGGGAAAGAGAGAAAUUGCGGUGAAGGAACAAGAUAACGCGAGUAUUUCAGCGAGUCAAAGCUUAUACGAGUCGCGUGUUAAAAAGGUGUGGAAAUUUGUGCAGUGAGACACGGUCUCGUUGGAACUGAUCAGGAAGAAACAGCUGUUGCGUGGACGUACACCAAACACCAAAAUAAGGAGGGGGGGCGAUAGGAAGGCGACACGUGUGCCUCAAUUGCCGGACAAGUUUAUCGUUCUACGUGUCCUUUCGCUAUUGGGUUUCUUAAAAGGGAUCUUAGUCGCUAAGACUUAAUCCGCGGACGAGGAAGCGGGGCAUGAAGAAGAGUCGGUUCGGGUCGGAUUCGCUGUAAAUCUUUCGGAUUUUCGGGUCAGGAUGUAUAUCCAAUUAGAAGUCGGUUUUGUCAUACACAAUCAUCUGGUAUCUUCUAUGACUGAAGCUAUUAAAAAAAUAGUUAAUUUCAAACUGGUCCCUAUAUUAAAUUACAAAUAUAUUUCUACAAAAUUCAACUUUCAUAUUUUGUUCCUACAAAAGUUCUAAUAUUUUUGAAUAUAUCACUGCAGUUAGAAUCCGUUAGAAAGCUUAAGUUAACUAUAAAUUAAAUAUUUAAUUCUGAUUAGUUUGUAAGCUAAUUUGAAUAAAAAUUGUAAGUAUGGUUUGUAAUGUUAUACUACAAAAUAACUCAAUUAUAGCCACAAUACACUUUACUACAUCAGAUCAAAUGAAAUAAAUUAUUCGGAUCAUCAAAUAAGACCCGACCCGUUUGUGGGUGACGAUUGUAACGUCUCUCAAAGCGACGUUGGAGGAGUGGGCGGCUGAGAAGUGAGAAGUAGCCGUUGGAAGUGGAGCUGAAUUUAACUGGUCAACAAGUAGCCGUUGGAAUAGGGCAUGAAGGGUUAUUUUUGUCAUUUCACUGGUCAUUCUUUUAUGGGAAAACUUCAAAAACUCCUAUUUGGUUUCACACUUUUUCAUUUUAGUACCAUGUGAUUUAAAGUGUAUCAAGUUAGUACCUUAUGGUUUCUCACUUUAUCACUUUAGUACCCUGUGGUUUAAAGUGUAUCAAGUUAGUACCUUGUGGUUUUGCACUUUAUCACUUUAGUACCCUGUGGUUUCACACUUUAUCACUUUAGUACCCUAUAGUUUAAAAAACCACAGGGUGCUAAUUUGAUACAAAAUCAAAACCACAGAGUACUAAAGUGAUAAAAUGCCAAACCACAGGGUACUAACUUGAUACACUUUAAACCACAGAGUACUAAAGUGAUAGAGUGAGAAACCACAAGGUACUAACUUGAUACAUUUUAAACAACAAGAUACUAAAAUGAAAAAAAUUGAAACCACAAGUAGAGUUUUUGAAGUUUUCCCUUCUUUUAUUAUGGUAAAGAUGUAUAGAAU
Molecule: long non-coding RNA, 8976 nt
Filed under: Ananas comosus (pineapple)
Lineage: Eukaryota; Viridiplantae; Streptophyta; Magnoliopsida; Poales; Bromeliaceae
Description: long non-coding RNA (ACOM_LNC007880)
Source: RNAcentral